This 424-nucleotide ribosomal RNA is filed under the name uncultured prokaryote. RNAcentral's name for it is "bacterial SSU rRNA". It matches the Rfam family "Bacterial small subunit ribosomal RNA", at positions 355 to 796 of the family's 1533-position model. The record is from RNAcentral.
UGGGGAAUAUUGGACAAUGGGCGCAAGCCUGAUCCAGCCAUGCCGCGUGGAUGAAGAAGGCCCUAGGGUUGUAAAGUCCUUUCGUUGGUGAAGAUAAUGACGGUAACCAAAGAAGAAGCCCCGGCUAAUUUCGUGCCAGCAGCCGCGGUAAUACGAAAGGGGCUAGCGUUGUUCGGAUUUACUGGGCGUAAAGGGCGCGUAGGCGGACGGUCAAGUCAGAGGUGAAAGGCCCGGGCUCAACCUGGGACGUGCCUUUGAAACUGAUUGUCUUGAGUGCGGAAGAGGGUGACGGAAUUCCCAGUGUAGAGGUGAAAUUCGUAGAUAUUGGGAAGAACACCGGUGGCGAAGGCGGUCACCUGGUCCGCAACUGACGCUGAGGCGCGAAAGCGUGGGGAGCAAACAGGAUUAGAUACCCCCGUAGUCC